UGUCCCUUUGUUCCUGAAAUCUUCAGGGUUAAUCCUCCAAUAAUCCUAAAUUGGGAUGACAGUACUAAGAAUCUUGACUAAUUUUAGGUAUGCAGGCCUCUACUUGAAACUUAAAUUUGUCAAAAAUCUGAAUCUAUCGUUCUUUUCCUCCUUCCCUCCUUCCCCUUGCUGUUCAGGAAUGUUCCCUUGUAGCUGCUUUCCUUAAACGAACCAACUGCUUCUCACAAAAUCUCUCACUUCCUUUAGUUAUGCCAUGCACAGAACAGAGGGGCGAAGCCAGUCCUAAGCCAAUGGAUGUUAUUUAACAGAAAUGAAAACAAAACACAACUUUUCAACACAAAAGGAACACCUUUGCCCCAAAUCACCUAAUUUUUUAAAACAUCCCUUCUGAUACCAAAGCUAAGGCUUAUAUGGUGUGCAGUUUCUCUUUGAAGAGCCCAUGGAUAUUUCUAUAACAAGAAUACUGCAGCUAAGUACAGAGAAGACAAGCUGUAGUGGAGUUUCACUGGUGCCAGCCAGGGGCAUGUAUCUCAUAUUCGUCUUGGUGGCACAGAGCACAGCAGCCAUCUAGGACCAGCCUUGUGUCUUGGACUGAAUCCAGAAUAAACAAGCACCCUGGUGGAAAUGCUCCAUAAACACCCAGAAUCUGGAGACAUUCUUAACUUGCAGGAUGUCAAGUUUUUUUCUGGAAAGGGCUGGCAAGCGUGGUGUGCACCAUAGUGUGGUACCCAAUAUCAGCCCAUGAGACUGGAAUAUGCAAUGUAAGUCCUCUCAUGAUCCCACACACCCAAUGGCAAGGAGGUAUUUGGCAUGAAUUUUAUUAAUAUAAAAUAGAAUAACAACCUGCAGCGUAAUAUAGUAGCACUGAUUGUCCAAAGAUUUUAGGCUAGACUGUCUUUGUUGUAAAAACAAAAGCAGGGCUGGAGAUCACUGCUUUAUGCGCGGGUUUGGCAGGGCUUGAAAUGCUGUGUGCUCCUGAGAAGUGUUUACAAAUUGGAGGUAACUCAAAGAAAAGGAGGGAAUUAAGAAGUGAGGAAGUUAGAAGGAAUGAUACAUAAGACAGCAAAAGAAGAAGCCAGCAGACACAUGCGUUGUCCGAGGUAUACUGAGUAGGAGGGGUAAAUUUAGUGAGCUCCAAUGAGAUCUUGAAAGACAGUAAGAGUAGCACAUUGGGAGGAAGUUAUUGUCGGGAAAUGAAAGGCAAGGCACAAUAAAGAAAAAUAGUAGCCUGUACCGGCUGCUGGAUUAUUAAUGACAAAAAUUAAAACAUCCAACCAAAAAGUUAAUCCAAGCCAAGCCUUGUCUCCUGCAUCUCUGGAAUUUCAUAGGGAAGCUUUCUUAUCUCAAGUAAGUGAGGAUGAAACCAGCAUGGCCAUUGAGGAGUUAAUUUUGGAAAAAAGUACCCUUGAGAGAGCAGGAAUACCAGGGGUGACCAGCCUCAGCUCCUCAGUUUAUGCUGCUGACAAACAGUGCAAGAAGGACUGCCGUGGCACUUCAUAUGAUUGACAGCAGGGCGAUGCUAGCCCUGUGGAUAUGGCAAGGUCCUGCACGCACAUUGGGACAGUUGCAUCACUACAGACUGGGGGAUGAAUGGAUCGUGAGCAGCUCUGUGGAGAAGGACUUGGGGAUAUUGGUUGAUGAAAACCAGGACAUGAACCAGCAAUGUGUGCUAGCAGCCCAGAAAGCCAUCUGUAUCUUGGGC
Long non-coding RNA from Cuculus canorus (common cuckoo), 1702 nucleotides. RefSeq lists it as uncharacterized. The record is from RefSeq and is a predicted model, not a curated record. NCBI's taxonomy places the organism in Eukaryota, Metazoa, Chordata, Aves, Cuculiformes, Cuculidae. The transcript has 4 exons.